Molecule: non-coding RNA, 135 nt
Organism: Triticum aestivum (bread wheat)
Lineage: Eukaryota; Viridiplantae; Streptophyta; Magnoliopsida; Poales; Poaceae
Source: Rfam
UUUCUACUCCCUCCGUCCGAAAAUACUUGUCAUCAAAAUGGAUAAAAAUAGAUGUAUCUAAAACUAAAAUAUGUCUAGAUACAUUUCCUUUUAUCCAUUUUGAUGUCAAGUAUUUCUGGAUGGAGGGAGUAUUUG